GAUGAAGAACGUAGCGAAAUGCGAUACUUGGUGUGAAUUGCAGAAUCCCGUGAACCAUCGAGUCUUUGAACGCAAGUUGCGCCUCAAGCCAUUAGGUUGAGGGCACGUCUGCCUGGGCGUCACAUAUCGUUGCCUGAUGCCAGUUUCCUCGUGAUGGGUGACUGUGCAGGGCGAAUGAUGGCUUCCCGUGAGCAUUGUUGCCUCAUGGUUGGUUGAAAAUUGAGUCCUUGGUAGGGAGCGCCGUGAUAGAUGGUGGUUGAGUGACGAACGAGACCCAAUCAUGUGAGACCCGUACCGAAUUUGGCCUUCAUGACCCACAUGCGUCUUUGGAACGCUCAUGACGAGACCUCAGGUCAGGCGGGACUACCCGCUGAGUUUAAGCAUAUCAAUAAGCGGAGGA
RNAcentral lists this unclassified non-coding RNA (400 nucleotides) under soil metagenome. RNAcentral describes it as "partial contains 5.8S ribosomal RNA, internal transcribed spacer 2, and large subunit ribosomal RNA". The stretch from base 1 to 122 matches the Rfam family "5.8S ribosomal RNA", at positions 35 to 154 of the family's 154-position model. The record is from RNAcentral.